RNAcentral lists this long non-coding RNA (1577 nucleotides) under Citrus maxima (pomelo). Its description in RNAcentral is "long non-coding RNA (CMAX_LNC001317)". Lineage: Eukaryota; Viridiplantae; Streptophyta; Magnoliopsida; Sapindales; Rutaceae. The record is from RNAcentral.
CAACCUUCAACUUCUCCAUUUCCGUCUUGAGAUUCUCAAGGUUGGCAUUGUAGUUCCGCUUGCGCAAAUAAACAAGUUGGCGUUCUGUUGGAGGAGCCAAGCAUUUUACAAGUUCCAAAACGAGAGUAACAAUGAUUUCCAGCAUCUUGAAUCCUGACAACAAUGUAGAAGUGAAGAAGGCCAAAGGACAGUCAAAACAGAGAGACAGCGUUACGACAAGCAGUUAUGGAGCUAAAAAUAAAUAACAAACAAACAGAAGCAAAGUGUUUUUCGAAUGAGAAGAAGGAAGCAAGAAAAACUUAAAACUAGUAUAAUAAAUUUAUACUAAAACUAGUAUAGUAAAACAAGAAGUCAAGAACCAGCAACUUUUACACACAAAAUAAAACCUUAAAACUAGUAUAAUAAAUUUAUCAUCAAGUUGCAGCCUUCUUAUUCAACAAUUACAGCAUUAUCUUGAGCUCUGUGUUUCUUUUUUUAAAAAUUAUUCAAAAAAAUCUGCAUUUGUUUUUCAACGAUAAAAAUUAUAUUUUUGUCUCAUAUAAUAUAAAAUUAAAAAAAAAACAAACAUAUAUUAAAGGUCUGUUUGGGAUUAUUUUUAGAGGCUCAAAAGUAAUUUUAAAAAGUUAAAUGCUAAUUUUGGUAUUUAAUAAAAUUUUUAGAAGUCACCUUUGGUAAAAUCAUCAAUCCUACAACAAAUUUUGAAAGCAAAUAGUUUUUCAAAUUUUUAUUUUGAUAAUUAAUUUUAUACUUAAUAUAAUUCCAUAUACAUCCCUACAUAUAUUAAUUAUCCUUAUUAAUUAGAAAAUAAAAUUAUUAACUUUAAAGAUAUUAUCAACAAUUACAUUGAGAUAACAAACUAAAAAUAAAAUUAAUAAUAUAAAAUAUUUAUUUUAGUAAUCAAUUAUUAUACUUACAAGAUAAAAAAUAUUUUAUUUAAAUGUUUAUAAAUGUACAAAUAAAUUUUAUUUAAUAUUAUAUUCAAUUUAGUCAUUUACAUUGUCAAUAGGACUUCUAAAAAUAAAUUUUCCUAAAUGUUUAACUAAUUCUCUUCAUAGUGAUUAUUUCCAAACAUAACUACCAAAAAUUACUAUAAUAGAUACAACAUUACCAAAAAAAUAUUGAGAUAGAUUUUAAUUAGGUAAUUGACUUAAUUAUGAAUCAAUUUAUUAUUUCCAUAUGUGUUAUCAAAACCAGCUCAAUAAUGAGAUCACUCUUUUUCUUAAAUAAAAAUAUUUGUGCCAAACAAUUGUUGCAAAAUUUCAAAUAUAAAUUACAAACAACAAAAUUUUCUAAAAUCAUAACAAUAAUUUAUGUUGUGAAUACAUGUAACUAAACCACAUUGAAAUUUUAUUGUUAGUAAAAUUGUUUUUCACGCAAAUGCAGUGACGGAUUCAGUUUCAUGUUUCACCCUCAAUAACUUAAUUUUCAUAUCUAACAAAUCAUCCAUAUUAUUAACAAUAUCAUCACCAAACAUAAUCUACCUAAACAUAAACUAAACAUAACACAUACAUAUAACUAUAUACAUACCGAAUCAGGAAAACAAUGAAAGCUACACGUAUCCGGCUCUACAAUUCCUU